GGGGAUGUAAAGGUUUCGACAGGGGUGUUGAAUCGGGAUAAGCGAGCGGCGGUCGAUCGGCCCGCCUACCAAACGAUCCGUUUAAAAGAAACGCUAAAAGAAAUAACACAUUCGCAAUCGCAGCUUAGUUCUGCACCGCGCGUCAGCCUGAAUUUACCCGUAGGUACAGGUCUUGGCGUCGACUAUACGGGGAACCCUUGUGUGAGUUCUCGGUAGCAUAAGGACUUACGAGAUAGAGGACCGGGAAGCUCGUUAACGGGCGUCUCGAAAAUCGAAACUCUAAAUCGUUAACUGCGCUCGGAGAAAGUCCCGCGGAUAUGCUUUUGGACGCGAGUUCGACUCUCGCCAUCUCCACCA
Molecule: transfer-messenger RNA, 357 nt
Filed under: Anaerovoracaceae
Lineage: Bacteria; Bacillati; Bacillota; Clostridia; Peptostreptococcales
Also listed under: 1 other name
Description: RUG754 sp900315895 Standard tmRNA
Rfam family: transfer-messenger RNA
About the family: Bacterial tmRNA, also known as 10Sa RNA or SsrA, is named for its dual tRNA and mRNA-like properties. Its role is to liberate the mRNA from a stalled ribosome. To accomplish this part of the tmRNA is used as a reading frame that ends in a translation stop signal.
Source: RNAcentral